Molecule: ribosomal RNA, 260 nt
Filed under: Escherichia coli
Lineage: Bacteria; Pseudomonadati; Pseudomonadota; Gammaproteobacteria; Enterobacterales; Enterobacteriaceae
Description: partial 23S ribosomal RNA
Rfam family: Bacterial large subunit ribosomal RNA
Source: RNAcentral
GCGAAGCAUGAGCUGUGAUGGGGAAGGAAAUUAAGUACGGAAGUUCCUGAUUUCACGCUGUCAAGAAAAGCCUCUAGGAAGAGUAGUACUGCCCGUACCGCAAACCGACACAGGUAGAUGAGGAGAGAAUCCUAAGGUGAGCGAGAGAACUCUCGUUAAGGAACUCGGCAAAAUGACCCCGUAACUUCGGGAGAAGGGGUGCUCUAUUAGGGUGCAAGCCCGAGAGAGCCGCAGUGAAUAGGCCCAGGCGACUGUUUAGC